UACGGAGGGUGCAAGCGUUAUCCGGAAUCACUGGGUUUAAAGGGUGCGUAGGCGGAAUAAUAAGUCAGAGGUGAAAGCCCGUCGCUUAACGAUGGAACUGCCUUUGAUACUGUUAUUCUUGAAUUAGGUUGAGGUAGGCGGAAUGUGGCAUGUAGCGGUGAAAUGCAUAGAUAUGCCAUAGAACACCAAUUGCGAAGGCAGCUUACUAGACCUUAAUUGACGCUGAGGCACGAAAGCGUGGGGAGCGAACAGG
This 253-nucleotide ribosomal RNA is filed under the name uncultured bacterium. RNAcentral's name for it is "partial 16S ribosomal RNA". It matches the Rfam family "Bacterial small subunit ribosomal RNA", at positions 524 to 776 of the family's 1533-position model. The record is from RNAcentral.